This is a long non-coding RNA of Hemicordylus capensis (graceful crag lizard), 3282 nucleotides long. RefSeq lists it as uncharacterized. NCBI's taxonomy places the organism in Eukaryota, Metazoa, Chordata, Lepidosauria, Squamata, Cordylidae. The transcript has 3 exons. The record is from RefSeq and is a predicted model, not a curated record.
UAGGGCCCAAGCCAGCCAGGAAGGAGGAGGCAGCCUGAGUGUUCUCUGCAGCAGAAGAGCCCUUGCUGCACUGCUUAACCCAGACCAGCAUUUGCCAGGUUUGUGGAAAAGUGAUCCUGGACAACCGAACAUAUUACAAUCCUUCUCUGGUCUCCAUCGAACAUCUGAAAAGCAGUGGGAUCGUGGAGCUCUGGAUGUGAUUUGCAGUGGAGAAGAAGAAGCAGAUUUACUCAGUGGUCCUGCGGAAGAUUGACUGCCGAAAUGAGGAGCUAGUCACCCACUUAUCUCGUUGAUCUUCUGCAAGAUUGAUGGCCUGAAGGGGAAGCAAAAAAAGAAAAAAGAAAAGGAACCCAGAUAAAUCUAUCCAAACUCAAAACUCAGGAAAAGAGUGCAGUGGCACACAGAGGGCAUAGGCAGCCCAUGUUCAGGCUGCCUGCCCCAAUCCGACAGUGCCCCCCUUCCUGCUGCCCCUUCUUUUUCCUUCACCACAUGGCGGGAGCCCCUUUUCUCUCUGCAGUGUCUGUCAGUGGCGGCAGCAGCGGUAGCGGCAGUCUUCCUGAGAGAGCAGCCAAGGAUAGGCUGCCCUGCCCGUGCCACUCAACCCCUACUGCCCCCACCACACAUGACGGGAAGAGAAGGGGUGCCCCACACAUGCAGCAGGAAAAAGGAGGUACAUAUGUGUACAUAUGUGUAUCGAGAGGAAGCAGUUUAUGCAAGUGCACCCAAGAGUCAGCCAGGGAAGGGAAUGUGCAAUCGGGGCCUAGAUGUGCCCCUCUCCCAAGUGUAACACAAUAUCAGAAUGGAACCUGCAUGUGUGAAGAGGUGGGGGCAGCUGAGCAGAGGGGGCAGGGCAGCCUACCCUGGGCUGCUCCCUCAGGUGGGCUGCUGCUGUUUCCACCCCUGCUGCUGCAGCCCCCCCUACCAUGAUUGGUGGGGAGAAAAGGGGUGGCGGGUGCCGCUGUCAAGUGCUAGAUAACAGCUGUGCCCCAGGAAUAGUGCCACCUGCUGGCUGGCAAUCAAUGGAAUUUUUACUGCAGGCUUUACAAUGGUGGGGGGAGUGUUAAUGUGGCUGGGCUGGCAAGUCCCAUUUCAAACUGGUUUUCGGGCGGGCUAUGGGGUGGAGACUGCCUUGGUCGGCCUGAUGGUUGAUCUCCAAUUGGCAAUUGACAGAGGAAGUGUGACUCUGUUGGUCCUUUUGGACUUCUCAGCGGCUUUUGAUACUAUCCACCAUAGUAUCCUUCUAGAACGUCUGAGAGGGUUGGGGGUGGGAGGCACUGUUUUACAGUGGUUCCAUUCCUACCUCUCAGAUAGAUUCCAGAUGGUGUCGAUUGGAGACUGUUGCUCUUCGAGAUCUGAGCUUAAGCAUGGUGUCCCUCAAGGCUCCAUACUUUCUCCAAUGCUUUUUAACAUCUACAUGAAAACGCUGGGAGAGAUCAUCAGGGGAUUUGGAGCUGGAUGUUACCAGUACGCUGAUGACACCCAGAUCUACUUCUCCAUGCCAACUUCUUCAGGAGCUGGCAUAUCCUCUCUAAAUGCCUGCCUGGAAGCAGUAAUGGGCUGGAUGAGGGAGAAUAAACUGAAGCUAAAUCCAGAUAAGACAGAGGUACUUAUUGUGCGGGGUCAGAACUCCAGAGACGAUUUUGAUCUACCUGUUCUAGAUGGGGGUCACACUUCCCCAAAAGGAACAGGUUCACAGUCUGGGAGUACUUCUGGAUUCACACCUCCAUGGUUUCUCAGGUUGAGGCGGUGGCCAGGGGUGCUUUCUAUCAGCUCCGGCUGAUACACCAGCUGCGCCCAUUUCUCGAGAUCAAUGACCUCAAAACUGUGGUACAUCUGUUGGUAACCUCCAAACUGGACUUUUGUAAUGCACUCUACAUGGGGCUGCCUUUGUAUGUAGUCUGGAAACUUCAGUUGGUUCAGAAUGUGGUAGCCAGGUUGGUCUCUGCGUCAUCUCGGAUAGACCAUGUUACUUCUUUACUGAUGGAGUUACACUGGCUGCCAAUAGGUUUCCAGACAAAAUACAAAGUGCUAGUUAUGACUUACAAAGCCCUAAACGGCUUAGGCCCUGGGUAUCUAAGAGAGCGUCUUCUUCAUUACAAGCCCCACCGCCCAUUGAGGUCAUCUGAGGAGAUCCGUCUCCAGUUACCGCCAACUCGUUUGGUGGCUACACAGAGAUGGGCCUUCUUGGUCGCUGCCCUGAGAUUGUGGAAUACACUCCCAGCUGAGAUACAAUCCUCCCCAUCUCUGGCAAUUUUCAAAAAACACCUGAAAACCCAUCUCUUCACCCAAGCUCACUCAGUAUCCUAAAUGUUGGGGUUUUUAAACUCUGGUUCGAAUUCGAAAGAUCGAAAGAACGGAAAUUGAAAUACAUUUUCAUGGGCCCAGUUGAAAAUUUUCAGACACACACCAUGCAUGCACAGUUAGGAAAGAGGAGGAGUGGUGCCUCGCCUCCUCUAGAAAGCCAUUGGCCAGAAGGGGCCAGAGAAAGACUGGGGAGCAAGCGGUUUGAAUGGUGCAUAGUAGGGGGAAAUGCAAGGAAUGGAGAUGAAGCCUAUUAAAACAAAACUGAUGUGAUGUGAUGCCCCUAGGUUUCUCCAAGUUAUCUUUACUGAGCUUAUAUGCAGCCAAUAUAUACCCUCAUAAUUCACUUUACUUUACCCCACUUAAUCCUGCAGUAAAGCCCGCCAUCUGGGAAAGGCCAGGGUCUUUCAUGAGUCCAGAAAGAGCUGCACCGACAUUCAUUUCCAGCUGAUCUAUUCAAUGAUGAUAUUUACCCUAAUAUUGCUCUCGCAUUUUAAAAUUUUAUUGGUUUCUACAAUAUCUUAACAGUCAAAUUACAUUUAAUUAAGUAAAUAUUGACUUCCCGCUCACGAGUCUGCGUGGUUCAUAUUAGCUCUACAAAUCUACCAUUGCUAUAUCCAUAUUUGAAAAAUAGUUCUUCAAAUAAAGUAAGAAUGGCUCCCAAUCUUCUUUGAAACAUUCCAAGUUUUCAUCCCUUAUGAGUGCUGUAAGUUUUGCCGUCUCAGCAUAUUCCAAAAUUUUUAUCAACCAAUCUUCUUUUGAGGGCAUUUUAUUAUCUUUCCAUUUCUGCGCAUAUACUAUUCUAGCCACCGUGGUUGCAUACAUAAAAAAUGUUAAGUUUCUUCUAGAGAACUCUCCUUGCGUUAUUCCCAGUAGGAAGGAUUCUGGUCUCUUAGGAAAUGUCAUUUUAAAAAUUUUCUUCAACUCAUUAUAUAUCAUAUCCCAAAAGGCCUUUGCUUUCCCGCAUGACCACCACAUAUG